Molecule: long non-coding RNA, 250 nt
Organism: Suricata suricatta (meerkat)
Lineage: Eukaryota; Metazoa; Chordata; Mammalia; Carnivora; Herpestidae
Exons: 3
Source: RefSeq, a predicted model, not a curated record
UUUCCGCGAGGUAGAUGAUACCAAACUGACAGCAAACUAUCAACAAUUCAGAAAAUCUGAAUAAGGUUUGUUGCUCUCAAAAUAAAUAAACCUUAAAAAAAUACAAGGAAAAAAGUGACAAUGGGACACAGAGCUAUCAGAUCGGCUAAAACGAAGAAGACUGAAAACACCAAGCACAGACAUGAAGGUCAGGCAGUGGGAGAGUUGUUCUCAUUUUUUGCAUCUCUUCCUUCUCCAAGACUGAUGCGUC